GAUGAACGCUAGCUACAGGCUUAACACAUGCAAGUCGUGGGGCAUCAUGAUGUAGUAAUACAUUGAUGGCGACCGGCGCACGGGUGAGUAACGCGUAUCCAACCUACCCUCCACUCAAGUAUAGGCUUCCGAAAGGGAGAUUAAUCCUUGAUAUCGUCAUUCUCUCUCCUGUUAGAAUGAUAAAAGGACAUCGUUUCGGUAGAGGAUAGGGAUGCGUUCCAUUAGGUAGUAGGUGGUUUAACAGGCCACCUAGCCGAUGAUGGAUAGGGGUUCUGAGAGGAAUAUCCCCCACACUGGUACUGAGAUACGGACCAGACUCCUACGGGAGGCAGCAGUGAGGAAUAUUGGUCAAUGGGCGCAAGCCUGAACCAGCCAUGUAGCGUGAAGGAUGACGGUUUUUUUGAUUGUAAACUUCUUUUCUGUGCGAUUAAAGUGUGGCAUUUAUGCCAUAUUGCAGUAUCUCAGGAAUA
This 470-nucleotide ribosomal RNA is filed under the name Bacteroidetes bacterium oral taxon 272. Its description in RNAcentral is "bacterial SSU rRNA". It matches the Rfam family "Bacterial small subunit ribosomal RNA", at positions 28 to 488 of the family's 1533-position model. The record is from RNAcentral. Lineage: Bacteria; Pseudomonadati; Bacteroidota.